This 418-nucleotide ribosomal RNA is filed under the name Entamoeba histolytica. RNAcentral describes it as "SSU rRNA". It matches the Rfam family "Eukaryotic small subunit ribosomal RNA", at positions 1034 to 1440 of the family's 1831-position model. Lineage: Eukaryota; Evosea; Mastigamoebida; Endamoebidae. The record is from RNAcentral.
AAGCAUUGUUUCUUAAUCUGAGUAUAUCAAUAUUACCUUGUUCAGAACUUAAAGAGAAAUCUUGAGUUUAUGGACUUCAGGGGGAGUAUGGUCACAAGGCUGAAACUUAAAGGAAUUGACGGAAGGGCACACCAGGAGUGGAGCCUGCGGCUUAAUUUGACUCAACACGGGAAAACUUACCAAGACCGAACAGUAGAAGGAAUGACAGAUUAAGAGUUCUUUCAUGAUUUAUUGGGUAGUGGUGCAUGGCCGUUCUUAGUUGGUGGAGUGAUUUGUCAGGUUAAUUCCGGUAACGAACGAGACUGAAACCUAUUAAUUAGUUUUCUGCCUAUAAGACAGAAGUGUUCGCAAGAACAGGUGCGUAAGUACCACUUCUUAAAGGGACACAUUUCAAUUGUCCUAUUUUAAUUGUAGUUAU